RNAcentral lists this ribosomal RNA (54 nucleotides) under Hygroamblystegium fluviatile. RNAcentral's name for it is "partial 25S ribosomal RNA". Lineage: Eukaryota; Viridiplantae; Streptophyta; Bryopsida; Hypnales; Amblystegiaceae. The record is from RNAcentral.
CAGACCUCUAAUCGGAAAAGACUACCCGCUGAGUUUAAGCAUAUCAAUAAGCGG